UACGUAGGGGGCUAGCGUUGUCCGGAAUCAUUGGGCGUAAAGCGCGCGUAGGCGGCCAGAUAAGUCCGGUGUGAAAGUCACAGGCUCAACCUGUGAAUGCCGCUGGAAACUGUCUGGCUUGAGUCCGGAAGGGGCGAGUGGAAUUCCUGGUGUAGCGGUGAAAUGCGCAGAUAUCAGGAGGAACACCAAUGGCGAAGGCAGCUCGCUGGACCGACACUGACGCUGAGGCGCGAAAGCGUGGGGAGCAAACAGG
RNAcentral lists this ribosomal RNA (253 nucleotides) under uncultured bacterium. RNAcentral's name for it is "partial 16S ribosomal RNA". It matches the Rfam family "Bacterial small subunit ribosomal RNA", at positions 524 to 776 of the family's 1533-position model. The record is from RNAcentral.